RNAcentral lists this long non-coding RNA (369 nucleotides) under Homo sapiens (human). RNAcentral describes it as "non-protein coding lnc-FA2H-3:1". The record is from RNAcentral. Lineage: Eukaryota; Metazoa; Chordata; Mammalia; Primates; Hominidae.
UGCACUCCCCAACUCUGUCACUCCCCCCUUACCGACGUUUGCGCGGGUGACCACGGCUUACGGGUCGUACCAGGACGCCAACAUUCCCUUUCCUAGGACUUCUGGGGCCAGGUUCUGCGGAGCAGGUUACCUGGUAUAUUUCACAAGGCCCAUGACAAUGCAUCGGGCGGUGUCUCCCACAGAGCCUACUCCGAGGUGAGUCAGGGAGAUGCAGAAGCCGCUCUACGUUCCCGGGGCCAGAAGUGGCCAGAGACCUGGGAAGGACCACUGAGUUUGCUUUUGGACAGUGCAUUUCAGUUCUUCAGUAAACUCCCAUUAUAAGAUUUAUUUGAGAAAGAUUGAAGUCAAUUAAAUUGCAAAAAAGCUGUG